CCUACGGGGUGCAGCAGUGAGGAAUAUUGGUCAAUGGGCGAGAGCCUGAACCAGCCAAGUCGCGUGAAGGAUGACGGCCCUACGGGUUGUAAACUUCUUUUGUCAGGGAGCAAUUGAGUCCACGUGUGGGCUUAGCGAGAGUACCUGAAGAAAAAGCAUCGGCUAACUCCGUGCCAGCAGCCGCGGUAAUACGGAAGGUCCGGGCGUUAUCCGGAUUUAUUGGGUUUAAAGGGAGCGUAGGCCGCAUGUCAAGCGUGCUGUGAAAUGUCCGGGCUCAACCCGGGCCUUGCAGCGCGAACUGGCGUGCUUGAGUCCGCGGAAAGCAGGCGGAAUUCGUCGUGUAGCGGUGAAAUGCUUAGAUAUGACGAAGAACACCGAUUGCGAAGGCAGCUUACCAAGCUACUUCUGACGUUGAGGCACGAAAGCGUGGGGAGCAAACAGGAUUAGAUACCCCUGUAGUC
RNAcentral lists this ribosomal RNA (461 nucleotides) under uncultured bacterium. RNAcentral describes it as "partial 16S ribosomal RNA". It matches the Rfam family "Bacterial small subunit ribosomal RNA", at positions 338 to 795 of the family's 1533-position model. The record is from RNAcentral.